This is a small nuclear RNA of Hibiscus syriacus, 102 nucleotides long. The record is from RefSeq and is a predicted model, not a curated record. NCBI's taxonomy places the organism in Eukaryota, Viridiplantae, Streptophyta, Magnoliopsida, Malvales, Malvaceae.
UUCUUGGUAAGCAGAACUAUUGAAAAUUGCAAGCCAGACGAAGAUUAGCAUGGCCCCUAUGCAAGGAUGACAUGCACAAAUCAAGAAAUGGUCCAAAUUUGU